AAUAAACAAAUUAAAAAAAAAAGAAAGAAAGAAGCUGGACAUAGACAGCCACAUAAGAUUCCAUUCCAUUCCAUUUAGCCCGUUGCCUGCGACGUACUCCAAGCCUGCUGGAUGCCACAAUGACUAUGUCUGCAUGAUUGCGUAGAGCUUAAAAAAGAGAACAGCACGUUUCUUGCACUGUGUUCACUUAUGAAAAGGGAAGAAGACGGCUGUCAGUUUUCCAGGUCUUUCGCUAAAGCGUCACGGAUGAACUGUAAGGCCCUCCAUGCUCACUACCACGGAAGGAGACGACAUGGUGCUUGGGAGACCUGGGUGAGUUUUCGAUGUUUCAGCCUAGCCAAGCCCACCGAGAUGGCAGCACCAGGGGGUACUAGUGAGGCCAGCCUGGUGAGCAAGUGCAGGUGGAGGUUAUGAAGGAAGACAGGCCAGCUGGUGACACAGAAGAAGGGGUGGACAGAAUUACAGCAAGGCUGUGUCACUGCCAGCAGCUGGUCCACCAUACUAAUUCUGCUUUAAGCUUCCAAAGUCAUCAUAAAAGACCAAAAAAAAAAAAAGUCACUUUCUUUGAACUCUUCAGGUUCUUCAACUACCAAACAGCAACCCUUCAACUCAUGGCAUAUUACUUUAAGGUAAAGUCUCUUCAGGUUCCACUAGAGGGUAUCAAGCCUUUUUCAUUUUACUUAGAUAAUAACUAACGCAGCAGGACAGAAGGCCCAUCAGCAGGUGCUCUGGAUACGUUCCACAUCUGACUGCCCGGAGCCCCGACUGCCACUUGACUCAGCCUCUGAGACGAUCAGAAAAGAGUCUGAUGAGCAAACUCAAGAGUUAGCCGGAUGAGGGGAAAGCAUUUCAGGGCAUGCAGUGUCCACGCUGCUUACUAUGCAUAGAGGAACAGAGGAGGCUGCAAGGAGAACUGAGAUUUGAGCCCUGCCCGCAAGGAGCCUACACUGGCUACAGGAGCAGGUACGGGCCAUGUCCUCAUCCCAGGAGCAGGAAGAGACUUAACACUAGUUUUUUUUUCCUUCCAAAUCUUUGUUGCUUGAAUAUUCCCCAUGUACCCUCCAUUUAUUUACUAAGCUCCCACACCUUUAGUAGAUUUAAAGGUUCCUGCAGGUGGCUAUCAGUCUGGUAAAUGAAAUACUCCUUUUAAUCAGGCUGAUAGAAAAGUUCUGGAUUCUCACCUGAAGGCAGCAGCUUUCGGUGUGGAAGCUAACACAGUGUUAGCCAGUUAACCCAUGCUGUCUAAUCAGUUAAAUCAAAGGGGGCCAGGAAAUGCCAAGGUGAAAUGUUUGCCGAGAAAUUUUAAUCUGUGGCUUAACAGAGUAACAGAAUCUAAGUCUUAAUAAAGCUGUCUUCUAAAACCGAGAAACUUAAUCUAAAAGCUGACGUUUAUGAUGACCACCUACCAGGAAUCUAAGGUCAAACAAGUUUCAAAAGA
Molecule: long non-coding RNA, 1438 nt
Organism: Dama dama (fallow deer)
Lineage: Eukaryota; Metazoa; Chordata; Mammalia; Artiodactyla; Cervidae
Exons: 3
Source: RefSeq, a predicted model, not a curated record